GAUGAACGCUGGCGGCGUGCCUAAUACAUGCAAGUCGAGCGAACAGACGAGGAGCUUGCUCCUCUGACGUUAGCGGCGGACGGGUGAGUAACACGUGGAUAACCUACCUAUAAGACUGGGAUAACUUCGGGAAACCGGAGCUAAUACCGGAUAAUAUAUUGAACCGCAUGGUUCAAUAGUGAAAGACGGUUUUGCUGUCACUUAUAGAUGGAUCCGCGCGGCAUUAGCUAGUUGGUAAGGUAACGGCUUACCAAGGCAACGAUGCGUAUCCGACCUGAGAGGGUGAUCGGCCACACUGGAACUGAGACACGGUCCAGACGCCUACGGGAGGCAGCAGUAGGGAAUCUUCCGCAAUGGGCGAAAGCCUGACGGAGCAACGCCGCGUGAGUGAUGAAGGUCUUCGGAUCGUAAAACUCUGUUAUUAGGGAAGAACAAAUGUGUAAGUAACUAUGCACGUCUUGACGGUACCUGAUCAGAAAGCCACGGCUAACUACGUG
Molecule: ribosomal RNA, 497 nt
Filed under: uncultured bacterium
Lineage: Bacteria
Description: partial 16S ribosomal RNA
Rfam family: Bacterial small subunit ribosomal RNA
Source: RNAcentral